AACACACUCUUCAUCAUCACACAAGACUAAACUACAACUAUGAACAACAUCAUCAUCUUCAUCUGGACUCUGACUCUCUGCAUUCAGGAGAUCUGGGGACAAGUGACAGUGACUCAGAGUCCAGCAAUGAAACCCAUCAAACAAGGAGAAACUGUUACAAUCAGCUGUAAAACCAGUCAGCCGAUCUCUGGCUGUAGUGACUGUGUGUCCUGGUAUCAGCAGAAACCUGGAGAAGCUCCUAAACUCCUGAUUUAUUACAUAAGAACCCUUCAGUCUGGAACUCCAUCUAGAUUCAGUGGCAGUGGAUCUAACUAUGGCAGUGAUUUUACUCUGACCAUCAGUGGAGUCCAGACUGAAGAUACAGGAGAUUAUUACUGUCAGAGUUUUCACUAUCCAAACAGUGUUCGUGUGUUCACACAGUGAUAAAGAGUCGUACAAAAACCUCUGUCAGUCAGACGUCACAGUGACUGCACUGAUACAGCUGAGAGAAACUGCAGCUGCUGAUGGAGGAGCACAAACUACACAAUAUCAAUGUUUAGCAAACUUUCUAAAGACUUUAAAGGUAAAUGUAAUAUAAGAUUUUAUUUAUGCUAAAAUACAUUAACCCAGUUCAUUGUUCAUUGACUAUUUCUGCCAUUCAUGUGUGUAUCUCUCUCAAAUG
This is a non-coding RNA of Rhinichthys klamathensis goyatoka, 661 nucleotides long. Lineage: Eukaryota; Metazoa; Chordata; Actinopteri; Cypriniformes; Leuciscidae. The record is from the annotation of a RefSeq genome assembly.